This 6609-nucleotide long non-coding RNA is filed under the name Homo sapiens (human). RNAcentral describes it as "HSALNT0118086". Lineage: Eukaryota; Metazoa; Chordata; Mammalia; Primates; Hominidae. The record is from RNAcentral.
CCACCAUCAAGUCUGGGUGAGUUUUAGUCAAAAGCUCACAGUCAAGAACUGGGCCACAGAAGGACUGGACCCAAACAGUGAAACCCCUGGGAACAAACCUCUGAGGGCUUGGAGGCCAUCAGUGAUGGAGGGGACCUUCCAUACCAUCUCAUCCUUCCUCCUGUUUGACAAGUGAGGGCUCAGAGAAAGCCUAGAGAGGAAGACUUGGCCAGGACCAUGGUAAGCAGUGACAGAGCUGUGGGCACAGGCUGGGGGUCCAGCUUCGACCCCAACCCUUUCUGCCCCAAACACACACCAAACAGACACCAUUGCUGGCCCACGGCAUAAGGAAGGUCCUUAGGCAGGGAAGGAUGAGUCUUCUGCCCUGGAAGCCAGAUCGGCAGGCCCAGUCCCCUUAAGAUUUAAAGAAACUGCCUCCUGGCAGUGUUGACGAGGGAAGAGCCACUCCCUUCAACAGAGACUUGCCUUUUCCGGGUCUGCUGGCGAUGCCUGCAGGGUGCCCUCCAAGUUCCCCAGCUUCUUCCUCUCCCGAGUCUUUGCUCCUGCCCCAUGGUCUGUCUCGUGCUAAUUUUACUCCCUGUCUGGGAGCUCCACACCAUCUCCCUGCUCAGUAGCAUUUUCAUUUCCCCUAAUCUGACCCCGAGCCCCACCUCUCACUCAUCCUUGUGCUCUUAAGAAACCCGAGUGCCAGUGCCGCUUCUACUGCCACUGCCCCAAGCUGACCACGUCCCUCUCUCCCCCUUGAUGGUGCCACACAAGCUGCGCCAGCUAGGGAGCCACGGGAGAGACAGCCACGGCCUUGUGCCCACCAGGAGAGCCCUGGAGCUCAUCUUUGGAGAUCUCUGCAGCCCCAUCACAAGCAAACUCUGGUUUCGUGUGGCCGUGUGGCUCUGGGGGACCCAAGGGACACAGAGAAGGCCGGCUGCAAGCAUGGAGAGCAUGUCAGGACAAACUGGCUGCUGGAGUGGGAUUGGCCUGGGGCCUGGUGCAUUUAACACUUCGUAAGUGGCUUAAAUGACAGGAUAGGAAACGUGCUCACUAAGUGUGCAGAGGAAACCAAGGUGGUGGGUGGCUAAGUCUUGGGAGGGUGGCAGGAGAAUUCAAAAUGACCUUGGUAAACUGGCGACACGGAUGCAGAGGAGACUGUGUAAGCAGGCAUGCUGGUGGCUUGCUUCCUAGAGAACUCGAAAGGCAAAGCGCAAAACUCUCAACGCUUUCAGCUGAAAACAUCCACAUGGUCAGUGGCUCCUCCAAAAGCUACACACAGUCACCGCAUAAGCCAGCAACUCCGCCCCCAGCCACUGACCCAAGAGAACAGACAACAGGUGUCUUAACAGAUACCUGCAGGCACAUGCUCCUAGUGCACUAGUCACGACAGUCAAAGCCGUGAACAAGGCAAACGCCCAGCACUGAGUGGAUAAACAAAAGGACUCUGCACCAUGGAACAGGAUUCAGCCAUAGAAAGGAACAAAGCACCCACACCUGCUACCACAUGGACAAAUCUCAAAACAUGACUGAUGGAAAGCUAAGCAAGCCUGACCCAAGGUCCAUGCACCGCACGAUUCCAGUUUACGAAAUGUCCAGGAUCUUUCCAUCCAUUGAGACAGAACGCAGGUUGGUGGUUGCCAGGGGAUGGGGAGAGGAGGGGAUGGGAAGUGACUGCUAUUGGGUAUGAGGUCUCUUUGUGGCAUGAUAAAAAUGUUUUGGAACUAGACAGAUGUGGUGGUUGCACAGCACUGGGAAUCUACUAAGUUGUGAAUGGUAUUCUUUAAAAUGGUUAAUUUUAUGUGAGGUGAAUUUCACCUCAACGAAAAAAAGAAACAAUAAAAUGAAAUGUAGAAUGACCGGCCAAAAUAUUUGGUAGAGAACGAGCUGGAGGUCAGCGUAGAUAAUGAAUACCCCGGAAGUCGGCAAAACCACAGGGUGGUGUAAUUAGGAAAAGACUGUGCAGCUUGCACAGCCAGAGGCAAAGGGGGCAAGUCCCCUGGCACCAAAGUGAGCCAGUUCUCAGCACUGGGGUAGACAUCAAAACCCUCAUAUCCUCACUUCAGCCAAAGUGAGCCAGUUCUCAGCACUGGGGUAGCCAUCGAAACCCUCAAAUCCUCACUUCAGAGACACAGAAAACAAGAGUUAUGUGGAUAGAUUAAGGUUCCACAGAACACUCAUCUUGGAGAAGGGAAGGGUCUAGGCGAACCUGGGGUUGGACUAGCUCUUGAGUCAGACAGGACUGAGGCCUCCCUAUCCCCCAUCAGGGCCCAUGGCAGCUGCCUUCCUCCAUCGCGUCUGUGAAGAGGGAAAGGACCCAGGAGCACAAUGCUGAGACUGGAACCAUCCAAUCCUGAUGGGCAAAAAGAGAAUGAACUUCACGAUCCGGGGAUCUCAGAGGAGCUCACUCAGGUUGGCUUGAAAGCUCUGGCCCCGGCACAGUGUCUAGUGGAGAGGAGCCGUGCGAUAUUUAUCUAUGCAGCUGAUGCAUAAAUGGGCCCACCCAUAAGCUAGGAAGCCGGAGGAUAUUAUUCCAGCCUAUGUUACGCUGAAAGAAGCUGAGGCCCAGAAAAAGAGUGAUUCAUUCAAGGUCACCAAAUGUUUGUCACACAUCGGCACAGCUCACGACACCUUACAGGCCUCCAGCCUCCUGCCUUCCGGGUCCUUGCCUGGUCUGUGCAUGUGUGAGGGGGAAACAGACGCCUGGCGGGUUCAACUUACUCUCAAGACCCCAAGCUGCACUGCGGACGCUCAUUCACCUUUGCUAAGCGACUCCAGGUCUCCUUCCUCUGGUUGGCCCCUGCAGCCCCACCCUCCCCACCCUCCCCACCCUCCCCACCCUCCCCACCCUCCCCACCCUGGAUGUGUGUAUUCGGCUGCCUGAGGGAGAAAUAAACAAGACUGAGGAACGCUGGGGUCCUGGGCGGGGGCUCUGCCUAGAGCUCCCUGCCCUCCUCUGGCCUGGAUGCUCGGCAUGUAUGGAUUCAGUCUGUCUGGCUGCUUUCCUGGCCCCAGAAGCAUUCACCUGAGGCCUGGGGGCUUCCUGACCCUGUGGGCUCCCUCAUCUUGUUCAGGCACUGGGCACUCAGGGCAGGCUCUCAGCCACAGGGGCUGCUGCGGGGUCAGCGGUGGUCAGGGCAGUAGCUCUGGGAUUCAGGGCUGUUCCACCCCCACGACCAAGAGGAACGAAAGAGAACCAGUAAGGCCCGGGAGGCUGCCCGGGAGAGAAAGGCACGCGCCGCGUUGAGAGAGCAGGAGAGUGGGGGAAAGCACAGCAAGAGGCAGCCAGGCUCAUCGGGUUUCUCUGAGAACGCCGGGCGUGCGGCUCCCUCUGCAGAGAUGCUGGGAAACCACUGCACGGUCACAAACGGGGGCUGGCCGGGCGCGGUGGCUCACGCCUGUAAUCCCAGCACUUUGGGAGGUCGAGGUGGGUGGAUCACAAGGUCAGGAGAUUGAGACCAUCCUGGCCAACAUGGUGAAACCCUGUCUUUCCUAAAAAUACAAAAAAGGCGUGGUGGUGGGUGCCUGUAGACCCAGCUACUUGGGAGGCUGAGGCAGGAGAAUGGCAUGAACCCAGGAGGCAGAGCUUACAGUGAGCUGAGAUCAUGCCACUGCACUCCAGGCUGGGUGACAGAAUGAGGCUCCGUCUCAAAAAAAAAAAAAAGAAAGAAAAAAAAGAAACGGGGGACAGUGGGGCGGCUGAUCUCCACUUCACUUCAUCCUUUCCCACCAGGAGAGCCUGAGGAGGGAGCCAUUGCUAGGCCCUGUGGCCAUUCUCCAUGAGAUGACCCCCUCACCUGCCUUCUGAGCAGCGAGUGUCUGGUUAUCUACAGGGCUGUUGUUUUGCUGAGCAUAAAACAGUUUCAGGGCCAGGAUCAAUGGAUUGGGAAAAGGGUGGACCACUGAAGGUGGCAGCCAAGGUCAAACUACCCUGCCCUUCCCGCCCAGUGCCUGGUCUCCCUUUUUGAAAGAUGUCGAUUGGAACAGGUGCCAAAUGAUUGGGGAACCCAGGCAGGUGCCACAUGGCUCCAUUAGGCUCUGCCUGCACUUCCUCCUGCAGCCGCGGUUUGUCAUUACCUGGAGGCAUCACGCAGUCUCCAACACCUGUCCCCCUGCACCACUCUUCCCCCUCUCAGAGUGUGUCUGCUCCUUCCACCCCUCCUCUCUGCAACUGGCUGACUCCUUUGGAAUCUGGAGAGCAUCCGGGCCUUUCGGAAGCCUCUGAACAGCAUCCCUCUUAGCCUCUCACUGCCCCUGCCAGGCUGCCAGAAUCUAUGUCCUAAUUCUGUACUCCUAUACCCUCUUCAGAGUACCCCCAGCACAGUGCAGAUCACUGUCAAAGCAUUCAUUUAAAAACACAACUCCCAGGCCAGGCGUGGUGGCUCACGCCUGUAAUCCCAGCACUUUGGGAGGCUGAGGUGGGUGGAUCACGAGGUCAAGAGAUCAAGACCAGCCUGGCCAACAUGGUGAAACCCCAUCUCUACUAAAAAUACAAAAAUUGGCUGGGUGUGGUGGCACGUGCCUGUAGUCCCAGCUACUCACGAGGCUGAGGCAGGAGAAUCGCUUGAACCAGGGGGGUGGAGGAUGCAGUGAGCUGAGAUCAUGCCACUGCACUCCAGCCUGGCGACAGAGUGAAGGUCCAUCUAAAACAAACAAACGAACAAACAAAAAACAAAAAAUAUAACUCCUGGCCAGGCGCGGUGGCUCACACCUGUAAUCCCAGCACUUUGGGAGACCAAGGCAAGUGGAUCACCGGAGGUCAGGAGUUCAAGAUCAGCCUGGCUAACAUGGUGAAACCCCGUCUCUGCUAAAAAUACAAAAAUUAGCUGGGCAUGGUGGCACAUGCCUGUAAUCCCAGCUACUUGGGAGGCUGAGGCAGGAGAAUUGCUUGAACUUGGGAGGUGGAGGUUGCUGUGAGCUGAGAUUGUGCCUCUCCACACCAGCCAGGGUGACAGAGUGCGACUUCAUCUCAAAAGAAUAAAUAAAUAAAUAAAAACACAGCUCCUGGGAGACAUGGCAGGAGGAUCUCUUGAGCCCAGGAGUUCAAAAUCAGCCUGGGCAACAGAGGGAGACCCCAUCUCUACAAAAUAAUUAAAAAAAAAAUUAGCCAGGCAUGGUGGCACAGCCCAUAGUUCCAGCUACUCAGGAGGCUGAUGCAGGGGGAUCAUUAGCGCCCAGGAUGUCAAGGCUGCAGUAGCUAUGAUCACACCACUGCACUCCAGCCUGGAUGACAGAGUGAGACCCUGCCUCAAAAAUAAAUAAAUAAAUACAUACAUGCAUACAAAUUCUCAUACAAAUAUAUAGUGUGUGUCAAAGAUUUAUUUCACUCAUUAAUGAGGAACUAGUAAGAUGGUAAAACUGGUUCGGAGGGGAAUAUAUGUCAAAGUAUGUAGAGUGAAUGAAAGAAAGAAUGCUCAAUAAGAUCAAAAAGUUAGAAAUAAAACCAGCUAUGAGAGCAAUAUAACCGUGACCUCUGGCUUUGCAACUUACAAUCUUCUAUGAGGUAGCAUCCAACUUCACAGAGUCUGGGCCAAAUCAACAAACAGUAAGUCAAACACAAUUACCUUCUUUAACGUGAUGGCCCCUAGCAGGUUUAUUAAAGCAGGCUCUAGGCCAGGUUCAGUGGCUCACGCCUAUAAUCCCAGCACUGUAGGAGGCCAAAGCGGGAGGUUUGCUUGAGUCCAGGACUUCGAGACCAGCCUGGGCAACGUGGUGAGACCCCAUUCUCUAUAAAACAUACAAAAUCUAGCUAGGUGUGGUGGUGCAUGCCUGUAGUCCCAGCUACUCUGGAGGCUGAGGCAGGAGGAUCGCUUGAGCUCUGAGGGUCUAGGCUGCAGUGAGUGGUGAUUAUGCAACUGCACUCCAGCAUGGGCCACAGAGGGAGACCCCGUCUCAAACACAAACAAGCAGGGCUCUAGUACUGCAGUCAGCAAACUCCGGCCCAGGGGCCGAAUCUGGCCCACUUCCUGUUUUUGUAAAUAAAGUUUUAUUGGAACACAGCCACUGUCACUGGUUUGUGCGGCUGCUGGCCACUUUCAUGCUUUUGCAGCCGAACUGCGGAGCUGGAACUGAGAGCGUCUGACCUGGAAAGCCUCAAGUAUUCACUAUCGGGACCUUUACAGAAAGUGUGGCAAGCCCUGCUGGAGCGCACCACCCCCACGGCACUGACUCCUCCUCGGCUGCUGAGUCCUCUCACCACAUGUGUCAUCACUUCUGGCUGCUUGUGGACUUGCCCUGAGGCAAGGUCAGGGUCUCACGCAUCCCUGCACCUCCAGCAUCUCUCCCAGGGUCCAGCCUCAACUUGGUGUUUAAUGCAUUAACGAAUUUACAAAUGAACAUGCGAAUGAUUUAAAAAUCAGUACUGAAAAUGGGUUGCUUUACACGGAGCUCCAAAACAGAUGAUCACCAAAAAUGUAACUACACUUAGCGACCUCUAGGGGAGAAACUGAAAUUUCUAUAAUAAAAGGUUUACAUUUUUGUCUGGAGAGACCAGGACUCUUUUUUCGUGAGAGACAGGAGUUCUUUAACCCUGGCUGGGCUCCUCUGGCUCUCUAGUUAGAUUUCAAGGCCAAGAAAGAAUGUUCUAGAAGCAACUGGGUGCUCACUAACAAUGUGCUGAUGUAG